Molecule: ribosomal RNA, 942 nt
Filed under: uncultured Acinetobacter sp.
Lineage: Bacteria; Pseudomonadati; Pseudomonadota; Gammaproteobacteria; Moraxellales; Moraxellaceae
Description: bacterial SSU rRNA
Rfam family: Bacterial small subunit ribosomal RNA
Source: RNAcentral
GUCGAGCGGAGAUGAGGUGCUUGCACCUUAUCUUAGCGGCGGACGGGUGAGUAAUGCUUAGGAAUCUGCCUAUUAGUGGGGGACAACAUUCCGAAAGGGAUGCUAAUACCGCAUACGUCCUACGGGAGAAAGCAGGGGAUCUUCGGACCUUGCGCUAAUAGAUGGGCCUAAGUCGGAUUAGCUAGUUGGUGGGGUAAAGGCCUACCAAGGCGACGAUCUGUAGCGGGUCUGAGAGGAUGAUCCGCCACACUGGGACUGAGACACGGCCCAGACUCCUACGGGAGGCAGCAGUGGGGAAUAUUGGACAAUGGGGGGAACCCUGAUCCAGCCAUGCCGCGUGUGUGAAGAAGGCCUUAUGGUUGUAAAGCACUUUAAGCGAGGAGGAGGCUACUGAGACUAAUACUCUUGGAUAGUGGACGUUACUCGCAGAAUAAGCACCGGCUAACUCUGUGCCAGCAGCCGCGGUAAUACAGAGGGUGCGAGCGUUAAUCGGAUUUACUGGGCGUAAAGCGUGCGUAGGCGGCUUUUUAAGUCGGAUGUGAAAUCCCCGAGCUUAACUUGGGAAUUGCAUUCGAUACUGGGAAGCUAGAGUAUGGGAGAGGAUGGUAGAAUUCCAGGUGUAGCGGUGAAAUGCGUAGAGAUCUGGAGGAAUACCGAUGGCGAAGGCAGCCAUCUGGCCUAAUACUGACGCUGAGGUACGAAAGCAUGGGGAGCAAACAGGAUUAGAUACCCUGGUAGUCCAUGCCGUAAACGAUGUCUACUAGCCGUUGGGGCCUUUGAGGCUUUAGUGGCGCAGCUAACGCGAUAAGUAGACCGCCUGGGGAGUACGGUCGCAAGACUAAAACUCAAAUGAAUUGACGGGGGCCCGCACAAGCGGUGGAGCAUGUGGUUUAAUUCGAUGCAACGCGAAGAACCUUACCUGGGCCUUGACAUACUAGAAAC